Molecule: ribosomal RNA, 484 nt
Filed under: uncultured bacterium
Lineage: Bacteria
Description: partial 16S ribosomal RNA
Rfam family: Bacterial small subunit ribosomal RNA
Source: RNAcentral
AGUGAACGCUGGCGGCGUGCUUAACACAUGCAAGUCGAACGAGAACGGAUUAUAGCUUGCUAUAAUUGUCAGCUAAGUGGCGCACGGGUGAGUAAUGUAUAGGUAAUAUGCCUCUUACUAAGGGAUAACAAAUGGAAACGUUUGCUAAUACCUUAUACUCCUUAUUAACAGAAGUUAAUAAGGGAAAGAUUUAUUGGUAAGAGAUUAGCCUGUAUUGUAUCAGUUAGUUGGUGGGGUAAUGGCUUACCAAGACUAUGACACAUAACUGGUUUGAGAGGAUGAUCAGUCACACUGGCACUGAGACACGGUCCCGACUCCUACGAGAGGCAGCAGUGGGGAAUAUUGCACAAUGGACGAAAGUCUGAUGCAGCAGCGCCGCGUGGAGGAUGACACAUUUCGGUGCGUAAACUCCUUUUAUAUGAGAAGAUAAUGACGGUAUUAUAUGAAUAAGCACCGGCUAACUCCGUGCCAGCCGCCGCCGUAA